GACAGAGGCCUCGAGCGUUAGGCGGAAUCACUGGGCUUAAAGCGUGUGUAGGCGGGCCCGUAAGUGUCUUGUGAAAUCCCACGGCUCAACCGUGGAACUGCUGGGCAUACUGCGGGUCUUGGGCCAACUAGGGGCAGCCGGAACAAGCGGUGGAGCGGUGAAAUGCGUAGAUAUCGCUUGGAACGCCGAAGGUGAAAACAGGCUGCUGGGGUUGCGCCGACGCUGAGACGCGAAAGCCAGGGGAGCAAACGGG
RNAcentral lists this ribosomal RNA (253 nucleotides) under uncultured bacterium. Its description in RNAcentral is "partial 16S ribosomal RNA". It matches the Rfam family "Bacterial small subunit ribosomal RNA", at positions 524 to 776 of the family's 1533-position model. The record is from RNAcentral.